This 914-nucleotide ribosomal RNA is filed under the name Bacillus subtilis. Its description in RNAcentral is "bacterial SSU rRNA". It matches the Rfam family "Bacterial small subunit ribosomal RNA", at positions 329 to 1235 of the family's 1533-position model. The record is from RNAcentral. Lineage: Bacteria; Bacillati; Bacillota; Bacilli; Caryophanales; Bacillaceae.
GCCCAGACUCCUACGGGAGGCAGCAGUAGGGAAUCUUCCGCAAUGGACGAAAGUCUGACGGAGCAACGCCGCGUGAGUGAUGAAGGUUUUCGGAUCGUAAAGCUCUGUUGUUAGGGAAGAACAAGUACCGUUCGAAUAGGGCGGUACCUUGACGGUACCUAACCAGAAAGCCACGGCUAACUACGUGCCAGCAGCCGCGGUAAUACGUAGGUGGCAAGCGUUGUCCGGAAUUAUUGGGCGUAAAGGGCUCGCAGGCGGUUCCUUAAGUCUGAUGUGAAAGCCCCCGGCUCAACCGGGGAGGGUCAUUGGAAACUGGGGAACUUGAGUGCAGAAGAGGAGAGUGGAAUUCCACGUGUAGCGGUGAAAUGCGUAGAGAUGUGGAGGAACACCAGUGGCGAAGGCGACUCUCUGGUCUGUAACUGACGCUGAGGAGCGAAAGCGUGGGGAGCGAACAGGAUUAGAUACCCUGGUAGUCCACGCCGUAAACGAUGAGUGCUAAGUGUUAGGGGGUUUCCGCCCCUUAGUGCUGCAGCUAACGCAUUAAGCACUCCGCCUGGGGAGUACGGUCGCAAGACUGAAACUCAAAGGAAUUGACGGGGGCCCGCACAAGCGGUGGAGCAUGUGGUUUAAUUCGAAGCAACGCGAAGAACCUUACCAGGUCUUGACAUCCUCUGACAAUCCUAGAGAUAGGACGUCCCCUUCGGGGGCAGAGUGACAGGUGGUGCAUGGUUGUCGUCAGCUCGUGUCGUGAGAUGUUGGGUUAAGUCCCGCAACGAGCGCAACCCUUGAUCUUAGUUGCCAGCAUUCAGUUGGGCACUCUAAGGUGACUGCCGGUGACAAACCGGAGGAAGGUGGGGAUGACGUCAAAUCAUCAUGCCCCUUAUGACCUGGGCUACACACGUGCUACAAUGGAC